ACCAUCGUUUUCAGAAACAUUAAAUUCCUCAUUUCACCAUGAAAUACGCAGUGGUAUUGAUAUGUGCUUUGGUGCUCAUUUUGGGCGUUCUAGAUUCCAACCAACAGACACCCAGUAAAAUUGAAGAUGACGAUGAUAGUGACAGUGGAGUGCUGGCUAGUUUCAAGGAACAAGUGGACAAAUUGGCAGAUCUGCUAGGGAAUGUUUCCGGUAUAUCUUUUAUACUAGACAAAUGUGACACAUUUUUCGAAAUAUUACUAAAAGCACUCAGUUCUUGCAGAGGAUUCUUUGGAAAUCUGAAUGCAACUCUUAGCCAUCAAGAUCAGUGAAUAAUGGAAUACAUGAGAGUACUGUAGCCAAUAAAUAAAGAUUACUUAAUUACAAA
This is a long non-coding RNA of Leptinotarsa decemlineata (Colorado potato beetle), 385 nucleotides long. Lineage: Eukaryota; Metazoa; Arthropoda; Insecta; Coleoptera; Chrysomelidae. The record is from RefSeq and is a predicted model, not a curated record.